UACAGAGACUGCAAGCGUUAUUCGGAUUCACUGGGCGUAAAGAGUGCGCAGGCGGCCAAGUGUGUGAAGUGUGAAAGCCCGGGGCUUAACCCCGGAAUUGCACCUCAAACUACAUGGCUAGAGCAUUGGAGAGGGUAGCAGAAUUCACGGUGUAGCAGUGAAAUGCGUAGAUAUCGUGAGGAAUACCAGAGGCGAAGGCGGCUACCUGGACAAUUGCUGACGCUCAGGCACGAAAGCGUGGGGAGCAAAAGGG
Molecule: ribosomal RNA, 253 nt
Filed under: uncultured bacterium
Lineage: Bacteria
Description: partial 16S ribosomal RNA
Rfam family: Bacterial small subunit ribosomal RNA
Source: RNAcentral